UUAAAAAUUAGUUAAUUCAUAACAUAAGUUUGUCAGGCUUAAGUAAUUCUAUUAGAAUAUUUUUAAA
This 67-nucleotide transfer RNA is filed under the name Enoplometopus debelius. RNAcentral describes it as "tRNA-Asp". The record is from RNAcentral. Lineage: Eukaryota; Metazoa; Arthropoda; Malacostraca; Decapoda; Enoplometopidae.